Molecule: long non-coding RNA, 1112 nt
Filed under: Strigops habroptila (Kakapo)
Lineage: Eukaryota; Metazoa; Chordata; Aves; Psittaciformes; Psittacidae
Description: lncRNA (ENSSHBG00005015649.1)
Source: RNAcentral
AUGGAAGACAGAGAGUCAAGAAAGGAAUCUGAGAGAAAUGAGGAGGGAGAUCAUAGUUUAUGGACUAAGGAGUCGUUUAAUCUCUCGGAGGAAACAGAAAGGGCUCACUCUACUCUUGAUGGUAUUUUAGAAAGGAUGAUCCAUGCAGUUCCUGGGGAUGAGGAGAUCCAAGAACAGCCUGAGGGACAUGCUCUUUGGGCCAUUGCAAGCCUGCAAGAUCCAGAAGAUGUUGGAAGAAAGAAGGGAGCUGGGGCCACAAACAGAGCACCAGGAGGCUGUGCAGGGAGUUCAGAAGGUCCUCUUCAUCUGUAAAAGCUGCUGGAUGCUGUACUGGGCAGUACCACGUUUAUUGUAUUGUUAGCAUUCAAUUUGUGGAGCUUGCACAGGCUAGGCUUUUGCUUUUCUUGAUUUCUGGGUAUUGUUUCUACCCUGUGGUUUUAAAGGAGAGGAAGCUGCUCUAGACUUAACUCUCCAGAGAAAAUUUUCCAGUUUUGAGAGGCAGUUGAGACUGACAGCAUUGUGGACUGUUCACUGGGGUUGCAGAGUGUCUCUCUUAACUUGCACAGCAUUAGCAUAAUGAUUCUAUUUUCUGUCAGCCUUCUGGUGUGUGUUUUCCCUUGUUCAUUAAAUUUAACAAGGUAGUUUCUUGUUUUUUCUUAGUGCUUUUUUGAUCUAGUGUUGAACUGAUUUGACUGAUUAAGGGGAUUAAUUGCUGUGCAAAAAGCUAAUGAGAAAAAGGUGGAGUAUGAGAAGAUCUGGUUAGUAUUACAAAAUACUUGUUGUUUAAUUAAACCACAGUCUUGGUAAAGGCCUCAUCCAGAAAAAAACAAAAAACACCAAGGUGCCUGGAUAUAAUUGAGGUUUGGAUUUGGAUUUUGAUGGGCAUGGCAACUUCGUAGUUAAUUUUUCUUGUGAUAAAUGCUGUUGAGGUGCAGGAGGUGUGAUGACUCUCCCUGUCUACCUGACCAUGGGAUUGCAGCUGCCUUUAGCUACGUGUACAGCAUCUCGCCUUUUCAUUCCUGUUCGUGUAGGGAAAUGCUGCCUACUUGUAAGUGUUGGUUAGUGUUGUUAAACCAAAUUAAUAAAAGUUUCCAAGGUUAUUGUGCUGCCAU